This 253-nucleotide ribosomal RNA is filed under the name uncultured bacterium. RNAcentral describes it as "partial 16S ribosomal RNA". It matches the Rfam family "Bacterial small subunit ribosomal RNA", at positions 524 to 776 of the family's 1533-position model. The record is from RNAcentral.
UACGUAGGGUGCGAGCGUUAAUCGGAAUUACUGGGCGUAAAGCGUGCGCAGGCGGCUUUGCAAGACAGAUGUGAAAUCCCCGGGCUUAACCUGGGAACUGCAUUUGUGACUGCAUGGCUGGAGUGCGGCAGAGGGGGAUGGAAUUCCGCGUGUAGCAGUGAAAUGCGUAGAGAUGUGGAGGAACACCGAUGGCGAAGGCAGCCCCCUGGGCUGAGAUUGACGCUCAGGCACGAAAGCGUGGGGAGCAAACAGG